CAGCCGCCGCGGGAAUACGUAGGUGGCAAGCGUUGUCCGGAAUUAUUGGGCGUAAAGCGCGCGCAGGUGGUUUAAUAAGUCUGAUGUGAAAGCCCACGGCUCAACCGUGGAGGGUCAUUGGAAACUGUUAAACUUGAGUGCAGGAGAGAAAAGUGGAAUUCCUAGUGUAGCGGUGAAAUGCGUAGAGAUUAGGAGGAACACCAGUGGCGAAGGCGGCUUUUUGGCCUGUAACUGACACUGAGGCGCGAAAGCGUGGGGAGCAAACAGGAUUAGAUACCCCAGUAGUCCCUGUCUCUUAUAC
Molecule: ribosomal RNA, 301 nt
Filed under: uncultured bacterium
Lineage: Bacteria
Description: partial 16S ribosomal RNA
Rfam family: Bacterial small subunit ribosomal RNA
Source: RNAcentral